This is a ribosomal RNA of 317 nucleotides. It matches the Rfam family "Bacterial small subunit ribosomal RNA", at positions 1 to 315 of the family's 1533-position model.
UUUUUAUUGAGAGUUUGAUCCUGGCUCAGGACGAACGCUGGCGGCGUGCUUAACACAUGCAAGUCGAGCGAUGAAGUUCCUUCGGGAAUGGAUUAGCGGCGGACGGGUGAGUAACACGUGGGUAACCUGCCUCAUAGAGGGGAAUAGCCUUUCGAAAGGAAGAUUAAUACCGCAUAAGAUUGUAGUACCGCAUGGCAUAGCAAUUAAAGGAGUAAUCCGCUAUGAGAUGGACCCGCGUCGCAUUAGCUAGUUGGUGAGGUAACGGCUCACCAAGGCGACGAUGCGUAGCCGACCUGAGAGGGUGAUCGGCCACAUUG